Molecule: ribosomal RNA, 141 nt
Filed under: Calligonum squarrosum
Lineage: Eukaryota; Viridiplantae; Streptophyta; Magnoliopsida; Caryophyllales; Polygonaceae
Description: partial 28S ribosomal RNA
Rfam family: Eukaryotic large subunit ribosomal RNA
Source: RNAcentral
UGACCCCAGAUUAGGUAGCACUACCCACUGAGUUUAAGCAUAUCAAUAAACAGGGAAAAAGAAACUUACAAGGAUUCCCUUAGUAAUAGUGAGUGAACUUGGAGUAGCCCAGCUUUAGAAUCGGACGAUCUCGUCAUCCAA